CCAAAGUUUAACACCCAAAAUAAAAAAGACCGAAAUCUUAUUGUCAUUGUUGUUUCGAAAACACCAUGUGUUCUUCUGCGUUUGGAAUUUGAAACAGAACCACCAACUUUUAUUCAUUCCUUCAUCCGUACACACUUCUAAUUCAAAUCCUAAUCAUAAUCUAGGGUUCCUCUCUCUCUCUCAUGACUUCAGUUCUCAAUUAUUCCUCAAUUCAACUACCUUCUUCUCUCACCUUCAUCAUCACCAUCCUUAUUUGAGAUGAGUUCCAGCAAUUUGACUGGGUUCGUGUUAGCAGUUGUUUCCAGUUCUUUCAUUGGUUCCAGUUUCAUCAUCAAGAAAAAGGGUCUUCAACUCGCCAGAGUCAACGGUCCUAGUGCCAGUGUUGGUGGCUAUGGUUAUUUGCUUCAGCCUCUCUGGUGGGUCGGAAUGGUUACCAUGAUUGUUGGAGAGAUAGCGAAUUUUGUAGCAUACAUUUACGCCCCGGCUGUUCUUGUCACUCCAUUAGGUGCUUUGACUAUUAUUGUUAGUGCUGUCUUGGCACAUUUUAUCUUGAAGGAAAAGUUACAAAAAAUGGGCAUGCUGGGGUGUCUUAUAUGCAUUUUGGGGUCCACUAUUAUUGUACUCCAUGCACCGCAAGAGAAGUCGCUUAGUUCUGUACAACAGAUAUGGAAAUUGGCCAUUCAACCUGCAUUUCUCAUGUACACGGCCUCUGCAAUUGCCAUAACAUUGUUCUUGGUUUUGUAUUGUGCUCCUCGCUAUGGCCAAACUAAUAUUUUGGUUUAUAUUGGAAUUUGCUCUAUAAUUGGGUCUUUAACUGUUAUGAGCGUAAAAGCAAUUGGAAUUGCGAUAAAACUUACGCUAGAAGGUGCAAACCAGGUUCUCUAUUUUCAGACAUGGAUUUUUACAAUGGUUGCUAUCACUUGUAUCAUUGUCCAACUUAAUUACCUUAAUAUGGCAUUGGAUAACUUUAACACAGCAGUUGUUUCUCCAAUCUAUUACGCAUUGUUCACAGCUUUUACAAUAUUAGCCAGUGCAAUCAUGUUUAAGGACUAUUCUGGUCAAAGUAUAGGUAGUAUUGUUUCAGAGCUAUGUGGUUUCGUAACUAUUUUAUCCGGAACAUUUCUAUUGCAUAGUACAAGAGAGCCCGAUCCUCCGGUCAAUACAGAUUUAUACUCACCACUGUCUCCCAGAGUAUCUUGGUAUAUACAAGGAAACAAUGAAUCCUGGAAACAAAGGGAGGAAGAUGUAUCACCAUUUAAUUUAAUAGCAGUUAUACGGCAAGAUCAUUUCAAGUGAUUAGUGGCUUAAACCACAAGAAGUUUAGUCUAUUAUCCAUCCAUUGAUCAGCUAAACACAGUAUAUAUAUAUACUCUAUCAUCACACUGCUUGCAGAGAGGAGACAGUGCUGCCAUUUUUUGGAAUCUGUUCACUGGUUGCAUCUGAAAUGAAGGCUUGAGUGAUGUAGAAGCUAAACCAUGCAUGAUAUUUAGGAGUUCAUACUGCGUAUACAUACAAGUGCAUUUAUUUUUAAGUAUUUAUAUUUUUUUAUUUGUUUAUUUUAACAAAGGAAAGGAGUAAUUUUAUUUAUAAUUAUAG
Molecule: RNA transcript, 1596 nt
Organism: Lathyrus oleraceus (garden pea)
Lineage: Eukaryota; Viridiplantae; Streptophyta; Magnoliopsida; Fabales; Fabaceae
Gene name: probable magnesium transporter NIPA6
Exons: 10
Source: RefSeq, a predicted model, not a curated record